Olea europaea var. sylvestris is the source of this 2326-nucleotide long non-coding RNA. RefSeq lists it as uncharacterized. Lineage: Eukaryota; Viridiplantae; Streptophyta; Magnoliopsida; Lamiales; Oleaceae. The transcript is spliced from 3 exons. The record is from RefSeq and is a predicted model, not a curated record.
AGAAAUUAAAAAGUAUGAGAAUUGAGAGCUUCUGUGCGUUGGAGAGAUAAAGAGCGUCUUAUUUUUAUGCUAUUUGAUUUGAUUCGUUAUACAGGCAUAUAUUAUAAUUGAAUAUCUGAGAAUUGCUUCAAUGAAAAUCGGUUCUUCGAUUUCCAAACUCAAUUAUGUGUUUAAAUUUCUGUCUGAACAGAAGUGGGGUUCUGCUUUUGGGCUAAAAAUAUCAGCAGCUGUUGGUGUACUCAGUGCUGCUAUUAAAUUAUUGGCUGUGAAAGAUAAAGCUUUGAACUUUAACAGCCUGCUAUUGUUAUCUGAUGGCGAUUCUGAGUACUGGACAGUCCCAGUAUUGCAAAAUCUUCUUGAAUGUUAUUUUGCAGGCUUUGGCAAGCUGCUUAAGCUUUUGGAAAUAUCUUUAAAAAACUGUUGAGGAAUUCAAGUUUUCCUCAGAUGGAAUUGAAAGAAUUAAGCGUGCCACUUGUUAAUACCUUGGCUUCUCUAAUGUAAGGUCUGUGAGAGUUGUUUUCAUGUUCUGAAAAUAAGAAAUCGAAUUGAGGAGUUUGCUCAUUUGGAAAUAAGUGUCUCCGAUUCAUAAUGCAAUUGUGGUAAAAUUUAUCAAAUUCAAGUUCGGCAUCUUAUUCCGAGUAAUAUUAAGUUUGAACUUGUUGAUGUUUAUAAUCUCUUGUGGUUUAGAUGCGUUCUUUGAUCUGUGCAUAUGCUACAAGUUGUUUUCUAGAUGUCGGGAUUUCAUGGCUAGAGCCUAAAAGUGUACUAGUCAGGAAUGUGUUUAUUUUGCAGUUAUGAUCCACCUUUACUUAAACUCCAUAAGUCAUCUUUUAUGAUAGAUUUAUGUGAGCUUUUUUGGAAUCUUGGAAAGGUUACUAAACGGAAGGAUCUUAAUUGCUGCUUCAACAUUUGUUUUCCACGCAUGGUGAUGAGUUAGGUUAUACGACAAGCUUAAAUGAUCCGAGAAAUUAGUAGGCUUUAAAGUUUCAAAGUGUAAGAUUAUCAUAAUUUUUCUCCAUUAUUGCUUAUAUGAAGUAUUGUGCACUGUUUUCUACUUUAUAAAAACCAAAGAAAUCAUUUAUAACUUGUUUUAUUCUUUCAGUUUCCAUCAACACUUUUAGAUGAUAAAAGAUAGAAUUUAGAAAGUCUAUUCUCUUCCUGACUGACUGCUUUCUGAUUUUGCGUUCUACCUCUUCUGGUAAAGGGGCUUUAGCCUUACAACAAGCUUUUCACCUCAUGUUGUAAGCUCUAUCUGUAUUUUCUUGUCACAGUAGUGAUUGCUGUGAAAUUAGUUAUUGUAUUCAUAGUAUGGAUAAUGUUCUCACAGCUAGAUGAAAGAUCAUCUGAUGUAAAUUUUAUCUACUUUGAAGCAUCUCUAACCCCAUCCUGUUCCCCGUCUUCCUCCCGCCCAAACUGCGGUUUAUAUUUAUGGGAUGUCAAAUUAUUUCAAUUGACAUUUUGUAAUGCCACAUAGGUCUUCUAAACAAUAAUAAACUUUUUGUGUCCUGGUUGAAUUCAAUGAUAAGCUUGUUAAGUUGCAUUUAACAUUCAUGCCCAGCAUGAAUUCAUAGCAAACCUGACCUUACAGAAUUAGGUACUGUACUGGCAUAGAAGAACCGUACUGAUUCCAAGAGAACUUAUGCUAGCAAUGGAUAAUUACUUUCCAAGUUUCAAUCUAACUAGCCAGCAGUUUCUUUUGCGAUAAGCAUUUGAGCUUCAUAAUCAAUGAGGAAAUGUGUUAACUUGAAUUUGUCUAGAUGCAGGAUGCUGAGGAAGCAUUCUCUCAUCUCGUGUCUUCAUUAAGAAAAGAAAUCUUAAAGCUGGAUUCGAAUUGUUAAUAAUAGCAACGGGCAGGGUGAAUGGCAAAGAUGGUGGCACAGUUUCCUUGGGCCUUUUGAUGGGAUUGUUGGCAACAUUUUAAUAUACCAAAGCUGUUAGUUUCAGGUUGAUGGUACCAGGAAGAAUAUUAUCAUGAUAUUAUUAUUUCGAAUUGUUCAUUGCCCAUAUUUCAGGUUAGGUAGUUAAGACGGAUAUUGGAAAACUACAAAGUUGUACUCAUGAUGAUUCAUGCGACUGCGAAACUCUUUCUUCCCUUCAAGGAUUUCCAAGGUCAAACAAGUUCUGUUGUGUUUUCAAACAACUCAAUAUUGCACAGAGUCCAAAAGAAUGUAUAUACAUUUCCAUAGCCUUGUGUCUAUUGAAGCUUGGCAGUAGUUAUUGAAGUUUUAUUAUAUGCUGUAUAAAGACAGAUCAUGAUAUUAUUAAUUGGGUUCAUGGAGGAGGGGAAAAUAAAAAUCUUGAACAUGGCAUCCUCAGUGUAUAGUUG